RNAcentral lists this ribosomal RNA (253 nucleotides) under uncultured bacterium. RNAcentral's name for it is "partial 16S ribosomal RNA". It matches the Rfam family "Bacterial small subunit ribosomal RNA", at positions 524 to 776 of the family's 1533-position model. The record is from RNAcentral.
UACGUAGGGUGCAAGCGUUGUCCGGGAUUAUUGGGCGUAAAGAGCUCGUAGGCGGUCUGUUGCGUCGGCUGUGAAAACCCGGGGCUCAACUCCGGGCCUGCAGCCGAUACGGGCAGACUAGAGUUCGGCAGGGGAGACUGGAAUUCCUGGUGUAGCGGUGAAAUGCGCAGAUAUCAGGAGGAACACCGGUGGCGAAGGCGGGUCUCUGGGCCGAUACUGACGCUGAGGAGCGAAAGCGUGGGGAGCGAACAGG